AUACAUGUAGUGUCAGAAGGUAGAGCUGUCUAAACGUGCCUCCCUGCAGUUUUUACGCGACGUGAUCACUGGCUAAAGCUAUUUGUUAUGAUAGCACUUUCUCACAAAUGUGUUUCUUGAAAACUGUGAAAACUUCUAUCCUGACAAGCUGUCAAAUGAAAGGCAAACAUUUUUGUACCACAGAAAUUCUAAUCCUUUCACAGAUGCACUGGGAAUAUUUAUCUUCAGGACUCACUUGGAAGCCAGCAAUGUUUCUCUAAGUACUUCAAGUCCAAGGAUGAAGAACUUUGUUGUCCACAUGAUGAUGUGAUUUAGACCCCACUUCCCCUUUUGAGACAGAUCUUGGUGGGCUUAGUGAAUGGCAUGUCUUGAAAGAGCCUAUAACUGUUCCCAGAGAAGAAGGAGGAAAUCCUAGAAAGUGAGAAACCCAGUGGACCCAAUGCCAAGCAAGGAAAACCAGACAUGCAAAGUCAAGAGCACACCAGCACCAGCCCCGGGCUCACUGAGCCUGCCAAGAUCCCGACCCUUUUCCAGGGCCGUAGACAAAGGCAGAUAAUCUACAGGGUAACUUCCCAACAAGAUAGUUCUGUGUUGCAAGUCAUCAGUGGGCCAGAAACAUGUGUGCAAGAUGAGAUGUCUGUGGAUGCGAUGCAUGUCUUUAUUGAUGAACAUGCCUUUUAGAAGCAGAAAAAAUUUUCGGAUUUCGUUCAGUUAGCAAAAACAUGUACGAAGGUAGGUCUUUCGUAAAAAAUGAGGUGGCGUAAAGCGAACUUACCAAAAGCGGGGGAUACCUGUACUAGCCUGGAACGGGAAGGCUUAGUUCUGCUUGCUGACAGACAAUGUUCUUAGAACAGAGUGUGCGCCCUCCUGCCUCAGGGCCUUUGCACAUACCGUGUCCCUGUGCCCACAUUGUGCCAUUUAUCCUUCGGGUCUCAAUUCUAAAGAAAGUUCUUCAGGAGAACCUUUCCUGGAUUUCCCAGGUUUAAUCAGGUUCCUGUGCUCUUUUGCUCUCCUAACACCCUAUCCUUUUCCUUCUUUGAGACUGUUACAGCUUCUAAUUGUUUAUUGACUUCCAAUAAUUUGAUUAGUGACAUUUUCUCCCUCACAGUUGUAAACUUUGGGGAGGUAAUGCCCAGCACCUAAGAAAUAUUCGUUAGAUAUAUGUUGAAAAUCUGACCUUGAUAUAUUUUUAAUACCUUGUUAUAAACAAGAUUUUAAAAAGUAAUAGAAAGGAAGGACGGAAGGAAGAAAGAAAAAGAAAGAAAGAAAGAGAGAAAGAAGGAAAGGAAGGAAGAACCAUUAAAUGGCAAAUUCAAGGUUCCUGAGAUAAGGGGUAUAGGUCUUAGUUUUUGUAGGUCGGGUCUUGGGUUAAGUCCCUUAUAGAUCAAUGUAAACUUAUUAUUCUACUCUCACGAGGAUCCUGGUUUGGAUAAUAAAUCAUAUAUUACCCUCUCUAUAUAGAUCAGUAGUUUAUAGUUUGAAGUGCUUUUGCAUCUGCAGAAAUACAAAGAGACUUUUACAUUAUGAAGAACAACAUUAGCACUUCUAUCAAAGCCUCCAGAGGAGCCGUGGUUGUCAUUGUGAAUGUUUCUUUUGGGGGUACCACCUUGAAGUUGAGGUCCAGCACUGCAGACUCCGUUGCAGCUGCUCAUGACAGACGAGGUUAAUUAUGCUUCCCUGUCACCUGAAGAAAGUACGCCUAAAACCUCUUCUGGGGAGAGACCAUUUACACCUCAGAACCCUGAGCCACUUUAGCAGGCUAAUUUAACUCCACAAAUUAAUUCCAUGUCUUUCUUUUCCUCAUUACCGGGCUGACAUACCAGUCAGCAGCUGUGCCAAUGCUCAUCUGCAAAUUCAAAGGUUGGGAUGGCCCCUCGUGGUCCACCGAUCAAAACCACACACUUAAUAAGCCUCUUUUGCACGUGAUACAAAAAAACCCCACAAAAAACCCAGUUACAGCAUACAGAGAUCAUCCUGACACAUGAAGAGAAUAUACAAAAGAAAUGCGUUGAAAAGAAUA
Molecule: long non-coding RNA, 2020 nt
Organism: Physeter macrocephalus (sperm whale)
Lineage: Eukaryota; Metazoa; Chordata; Mammalia; Artiodactyla; Physeteridae
Exons: 4
Source: RefSeq, a predicted model, not a curated record